This 193-nucleotide non-coding RNA is filed under the name Desulfosporosinus sp. Lineage: Bacteria; Bacillati; Bacillota; Clostridia; Eubacteriales; Desulfitobacteriaceae. The record is from RNAcentral.
UUAAUAUUAUGAAGAGUAAGUACACUUCUUUUGUAAAAAGAAGUGUUUAAAAGGGAAGUCGGUUUAAAUCCGACGCGGUCCCGCCACUGUAACAGAGAGUAGCCUUACAAAUGUCACUGGAUUUUCGAAGGGUAGGUACAACGGGAGUAAGAGAGAUCAAGCCUGGGUAACCAGCCUUUGUUACGUCUUAGAG